RNAcentral lists this long non-coding RNA (1125 nucleotides) under Rattus norvegicus (Norway rat). RNAcentral's name for it is "long non-coding RNA NONRATT018735". The record is from RNAcentral. Lineage: Eukaryota; Metazoa; Chordata; Mammalia; Rodentia; Muridae.
UGGGAUCUGAUGCCCUCUUCUAUUGUAUCUGAAGACAGCUACAGUGUACUCAAAUACAUAAAAAUAAAUAAAUCUGUAUAAAAAAAAAGAAAAGAAAUCGGGUCCUCCAGAGAAGCAGUGUGAGAGCUCCUAACCACUGAGCCUUCUCCAGCCUCCAUUUGUUUUUUGACAGGGUUUUAGCCCUUGCAGAAAUCCUGCCUCAGCUUCCUCAGUGCAAGGACUACAAAUGUGCACCUCCAAACCAAUAAUUGAAAUCAGUUCUGAGUCUGAGACUUCCUGGCCAGAACAAAAUGAAGUCCUGCCAAGAGCAAGAGUCUGCAGCCUGGCGCUGCUAGGUUUAUUGGGAGUCGCUACAUGCGUUUCCACGUUAUAACGAUUGGGUAAAUAAUACAUUAUAAUUGGUAAAACUGUAAGAGGCUCAAAUGUUGAAAGCUUUUAAAAAUAAAACCAACAAAAAUCAACCAACUCUAAGAAUGGGGAGAAGCUAACAAAUUCAUCACCUGGUCAGCUAUUGAGAACUUGCAGUCAUCAUGAAGACUGAUCUCAUCAGCCAGAACGUCACAACAAAGAAGUAACGGUGGGGGAGUGUGGGUAUGGUAGUGUUGGGAACAGGAUAAGUUUAGAAGCACUAAACACUUUCUAUGAAAAGUGAAUAAUGGCUAACAUUGGAAAAUGAGUUUGUGCAUGUGAUUUUGAUGUUUUAUUGUUAACAUAGUAGACCUAUGUACAUGUAACACUAUCACUCUGGAUAAAACAUAAACUAAAUUUUAAUAAAUGGAUAUUUAUUUUGAAUACAUUCUUUCCCACCAGUCCAACUGCCAAAAUUCCUUGUGCAGGCUACCAUCCUGGUGCUUCUGUUACCACCAUAGCUAACUGUCUCUUAUGCUGUCCUGUUCCUUGACUUCCAGUUUGUCCUAAACUCUCCAGUCAGAGAACUCUUGGAGUCAUGUCUCUUGCUUCAAAGCUUAUCAAAGCCUCCCCGUUGCACACAUUUUCUGUUGUCCUCCCCUUCUUGUAAACAGUGCUCCAGUUGAAAGGUGGGAGAGAUAACCAGCUUUCUCUUCUGGAACCUGAGAGGUAGGCACAUGAAGAGAAAUCUGAAGAGCAGACAUCAGAGGUAAAGAA